GGAAGGUCCGGGCGUUAUCCGGAUUUAUCGGGUUUAAAGGGAGCGUAGAUGGAUGUUUAAGUCAGUUGUGAAAGUUUGCGGCUCAACCGUAAAAUUGCAGUUGAUACUGGAUGUCUUGAGUGCAGUUGAGGCAGGCGGAAUUCGUGGUGUAGCGGUGAAAUGCUUAGAUAUCACGAAGAACUCCGAUUGCGAAGGCAGCACACUAAGCCGUAACUGACGUUCAUGCUCGAAAGUGAGGGUAUCAAACAGGAUUAGAUACCCUGGUAGUCCACACGGUAAACGAUGGAUACUCGCUGUUGGCGAUAUACGGUCAGCGGCUUAGCGAAAGCGUUAAGUAUCCCACCUGGGGAGU
This 352-nucleotide ribosomal RNA is filed under the name uncultured bacterium. RNAcentral describes it as "bacterial SSU rRNA". It matches the Rfam family "Bacterial small subunit ribosomal RNA", at positions 527 to 881 of the family's 1533-position model. The record is from RNAcentral.